RNAcentral lists this ribosomal RNA (564 nucleotides) under uncultured bacterium. RNAcentral's name for it is "bacterial SSU rRNA". It matches the Rfam family "Bacterial small subunit ribosomal RNA", at positions 338 to 916 of the family's 1533-position model. The record is from RNAcentral.
CCUACGGGAGGCAGCAGUGGGGAAUCUUGCGCAAUGGGCGAAAGCCUGACGCAGCAACGCCGCGUGCGGGAAGAAGGCUCUCGGGUUGUAAACCGCUUUCAGCAGGAACGAAAAUGACGGUACUUGCAGAAGAAGGUGCGGCCAACUACGUGCCAGCAGCCGCGGUGACACGUAGGCACCAAGCGUUGUCCGGAUUUAUUGGGCGUAAAGCGCUCGUAGGCGGUUCGGUAAGUCAGGUGUGAAAACUUGGGGCUUAACCCCAAGCCUGCAUCUGAUACUGCCGUGACUAGAGUUCGGUAGGGGAGUGGGGAAUUCCUAGUGUAGCGGUGAAAUGCGCAGAUAUUAGGAGGAACACCGGUGGCGAAGGCGCCACUCUGGGCCGAUACUGACGCUGAGGAGCGAAAGCGUGGGUAGCAAACAGGAUUAGGUACCCUGGUAGUCCACGCCGUAAACGUUGGGCACUAGGUGUGGGUUUCAACCAACGAAAUCCGCGCCGUCGCUAACGCAUUAAGUGCCCCGCCUGGGGAGUACGGCCGCAAGGUUAAAACUCAAAGGAAUUGACGG